AUUGAACGCUGGCGGCAGGCUUAACACAUGCAAGUCGAGCGGGGGAAGGUAGCUUGCUACCGGACCUAGCGGCGGACGGGUGAGUAAUGCUUAGGAAUCUGCCUAUUAGUGGGGGACAACAUUCCGAAAGGAAUGCUAAUACCGCAUACGUCCUACGGGAGAAAGCAGGGGAUCUUCGGACCUUGUGCUAAUAGAUGAGCCUAAGUCGGAUUAGCUAGUUGGUGGGGUAAAGGCCUACCAAGGCGACGAUCUGUAGCGGGUCUGAGAGGAUGAUCCGCCACACUGGGACUGAGACACGGCCCAGACUCCUACGGGAGGCAGCAGUGGGGAAUAUUGGACAAUGGGGGAAACCCUGAUCCAGCCAUGCCGCGUGUGUGAAGAAGGCCUUAUGGUUGUAAAGCACUUUAAGCGAGGAGGAGGCUACUGAGACUAAUACUCUUGGAUAGUGGACGUUACUCGCAGAAUAAGCACCGGCUAACUCUGUGCCAGCCGCCGCGGUAA
Molecule: ribosomal RNA, 501 nt
Filed under: uncultured bacterium
Lineage: Bacteria
Description: partial 16S ribosomal RNA
Rfam family: Bacterial small subunit ribosomal RNA
Source: RNAcentral